Molecule: non-coding RNA, 71 nt
Organism: Stachybotrys chartarum IBT 40288
Lineage: Eukaryota; Fungi; Ascomycota; Sordariomycetes; Hypocreales; Stachybotryaceae
Source: Rfam
GUUUCUAUAGCUCAACGGUAGAGCAUGAUACUGUUAAUAUUAUGAUAGAUGUUCGAUUCAUCUUAGAAGCU